RNAcentral lists this ribosomal RNA (401 nucleotides) under uncultured bacterium. RNAcentral's name for it is "bacterial SSU rRNA". It matches the Rfam family "Bacterial small subunit ribosomal RNA", at positions 355 to 773 of the family's 1533-position model. The record is from RNAcentral.
UGGGGAAUAUUGGACAAUGGGCGCAAGCCUGAUCCAGCCAUGCCGCGUGAGUGAUGAAGGCCCUAGGGUUGUAAAGCUCUUUCACCGGAGAAGAUAAUGACGGUAUCCGGAGAAGAAGCCCCGGCUAACUUCAUGACAGCAGCCGCGGUAAUACGAAGGGGGCUAGCGUUGUCCGGAAUUACUGGGCGUAAAGCGCACGUAGGCGGAUCGAUCAGUCAGGGGUGAAAUCCCAGGGCUCAACCCUGGAACUGCCUUUGAUACUGUCGAUCUGGAGUAUGGAAGAGGUGAGUGGAAUUCCGAGUGUAGAGGUGAAAUUCGUAGAUAUUCGGAAGAACACCAGUGGCGAAGGCGGCUCACUGGACUGGUAUUGACGCUGAGGUGCGAAAGCGUGGGGAGCAAAC